UACGUAGGGUGCGAGCGUUGUCCGGAAUUAUUGGGCGUAAAGAGCUCGUAGGCGGUCUGUCGCGUCGGUCGUGAAAACUUGGGGCUUAACCCUGAGCUUGCGGUCGAUACGGGCAUGACUGGAGUUCGGUAGGGGAGACUGGAAUUCCUGGUGUAGCGGUGAAGUGCGCAGAUAUCAGGAGGAACACCGGUGGCGAAGGCGGGUCUCUGGGCCGAUACUGACGCUGAGGAGCGAAAGCGUGGGGAGCGAACAGG
Molecule: ribosomal RNA, 254 nt
Filed under: uncultured bacterium
Lineage: Bacteria
Description: partial 16S ribosomal RNA
Rfam family: Bacterial small subunit ribosomal RNA
Source: RNAcentral